Molecule: ribosomal RNA, 495 nt
Filed under: uncultured bacterium
Lineage: Bacteria
Description: bacterial SSU rRNA
Rfam family: Bacterial small subunit ribosomal RNA
Source: RNAcentral
GAUGAACGCUAGCGGGAGGCCUAAUACAUGCAAGUCGAGCGGUAGAGUGACUUCGGUUGCUUGAGAGCGGCGAACGGGUGAGUAACGCGUACACAAUCUACCUUUAAGAGGGGAAUAGCCCUGGGAAACUGGGAUUAAUGCCCCAUGGCAUCACGAGACGGCAUCGUUUUGUGAUUAAAGCUGAGGUGCUUAGAGAUGAGUGUGCGUCUGAUUAGCUAGUUGGUGCGGUAACGGCGCACCAAGGCGACGAUCAGUAGGGGGCGUGAGAGCGUGGACCCCCANACGGGUACUGAGACACGGACCCGACUCCUACGGGAGGCAGCAGUAAGGAAUAUUGGUCAAUGGAGGAAACUCUGAACCAGCCAUCCCGCGUGCAGGAAGAAUGCCCUAUGGGUUGUAAACUGCUUUUAUCUGGGAAGAAAGUCGGGAUUUAUCCUGAUCUGACGGUACCAGAGGAAUAAGCACCGGCUAACUCCGUGCCAGCAGCCGCGGUAA